AAAUAAAAUGAUUUUUCUUUCCUGGUGACUCUUUACUUUUCCCUUUAGUGAAAAUUCCAUCUCGCGACAGCAAAAACCCUUGUGACAGGCACUUCCACUGAACAAUUGGCGUCCGUGUGGCACUCAAUGGAGGAGGCCGCCUACAAGCUUCUACUCUCAUGCCCUUAUGGUCUCUCUGCUUCUCAGGUAUCCGUGGUUUUAGAUCAAUUAUACGAUAGAAUUCGCCAUCCUGAUGAUGAAUUAGAAAACUCCAUCGCUGAGAUAUGGGAUCAAAGGGCACAGAAGAACACAUCAUUGUACAAUGGUAAAAAGUUCCGGUAUGGAGGGCAUAAUGUCCACAGUGGAGAUGGAUCAAACAAAGAUUCUCAUGUAUGGCUCCAACUUGGUUUGACAGAUUAUAGGACUUUUGUGGGGACAAACUUGAGUCCUUUGUGGGAAAAGUUCCUUGUUCCAUCAGAAGAUGACCCUAUACAAUGUCAACAUAUGUCAAGUCCACUGGGCAAUGGUGCAGUUGUGGAGACAUCUGACAAGAAAAUAGUUGUGUUGCGAAGAAGUUCUAAUGUUGGGGAAUUUCCUGGACAUUUUGUUUUCCCUGGAGGUCAUCCAGAGCCUGAAGAAGUUGGAAUAGACUCUGAUCAGAGUGACAAAGACUCUGAGAUGAUCAAUAAGAAGGCUUCUCAAGAGAUGUUUGACAGUAUCAUUCGUGAAGUAGUUGAGGAAAUUGGUGUACCAGCAAUGUCUCUUUGUAAUCCACUUUUUAUUGGUAUAUCCCGCCGGGUGUUAAAUGUUAGACCUGCUGCCUUUUUCUUCAUCAGGUGCAACCUUUGCUCAGAAGAAAUUCAACAACUGUAUUGUAAUGCUCAAGAUGGCUAUGAAUCAACACAACUUUUUACAGUUCCAUUGGUUGAAUUAGAAAGUAUGGCAUCGAAAAUGCCUGGCUGCCAUCAGGGCGGGUUUGCUCUCUAUAAGCUGAUGGUGGAAGCUUUGAAGAAUACCUGAUUAUUAAUCGCUGCUGAACAAUUGAAGUUGUUUUCUCUUGGCAUCUCUGUAGUCCUCAGUGACAUCAUUAUGAUGUCAAUUCACUUGGUAUUCAUUUUGCAAUUAUUAUAACAAGAAGGCACGCUGCUUUAGUCUUUCCUUGCUUGCACAGAGAUGAUUAUGCAAAGGGAUUCAAAUAGCUCAUUACCAGCAGUGCUUCAUGGUGCUUAUGCCUUUUAAUCCAUGUGGUUAGGCGCCUUAUGUUGUUGGGCACAACAACAUUAUCAUGAACUAAUGCAAGAAUUGCAAGAAAAUGUUGUAUUGAUCAAAAUAGUUGCAUAGAAGUCUAAUCGAAGUUGCACACAGGAGCUCAUGUCAAGUACAUGCAGUACUAUUAUCAGAUCAUCAGAUCACUUCACAUUUUGUUAGGCCUCCUUUAGAUGUAAACUUACUGAUGACCGAACUAUGGAAUUCUUCUGGUUGCAUCACGGUAAAUUGACAUAGUUAAUUCUUUAUAUAUUUCCUAAAAACAUUACUUCUUCUGGGUUUAUGGGAUUCUUAGUACACAUGUAUUUCCUUAGAUUACACAAAACAUGGAUUCCUGUGUAAUCUCAUGGUCUCUCUUUGUUCACAACGCAUUUUUGAGUUCUUGUUCUUCAAUUAAUUUUAACUUAGAAACACCAUAUUUAUACCGA
This is an RNA transcript of Manihot esculenta (cassava), 1673 nucleotides long. It is a transcript of the gene named nudix hydrolase 9, with no coding region annotated. The record is from RefSeq and is a predicted model, not a curated record. Lineage: Eukaryota; Viridiplantae; Streptophyta; Magnoliopsida; Malpighiales; Euphorbiaceae. The transcript has 10 exons.